CCUACGGGUGGCAGCAGUGAGGAAUAUUGGUCAAUGGACGAGAGUCUGAACCAGCCAAGUAGCGUGAAGGAUGACUGCCCUAUGGGUUGUAAACUUCUUUUAUGCGGGAAUAAAACGAGUCACGUGUGCUGUUUUGCAUGUACCUUAUGAAUAAGGACCGGCUAACUCCGUGCCAGCAGCCGCGGUAAUACGGAAGGUCCGGGCGUUAUCCGGAUUUAUUGGGUUUAAAGGGAGCGUAGAUGGGAUGUUAAGUCAGUUGUGAAAGUUUGCGGCUCAACCGUGGAAUUGCAAUUGAUACUGGCAGUCUUGAGUACAGGUGAGGUAGGCGGAAUUCGUGGUGGAGCGGUGAAAUGCUUAGAUAUCACGAAGAACCCCGAUUGCGAAGGCAGCUUACUGAAGUGUGACUGACAUUGAAGCUCGAAAGUGUGGGUAUCAAACAGGAUUAGAUACCCGUGUAGUC
This 460-nucleotide ribosomal RNA is filed under the name uncultured bacterium. Its description in RNAcentral is "partial 16S ribosomal RNA". It matches the Rfam family "Bacterial small subunit ribosomal RNA", at positions 338 to 795 of the family's 1533-position model. The record is from RNAcentral.